This 456-nucleotide ribosomal RNA is filed under the name Streptococcus sp. oral taxon 064. RNAcentral describes it as "bacterial SSU rRNA". It matches the Rfam family "Bacterial small subunit ribosomal RNA", at positions 28 to 470 of the family's 1533-position model. The record is from RNAcentral. Lineage: Bacteria; Bacillati; Bacillota; Bacilli; Lactobacillales; Streptococcaceae.
GACGAACGCUGGCGGCGUGCCUAAUACAUGCAAGUAGAACGCUGAAGGAGGAGCUUGCUCUUCUGGAUGAGUUGCGAACGGGUGAGUAACGCGUAGGUAACCUGCCUGGUAGCGGGGGAUAACUAUUGGAAACGAUAGCUAAUACCGCAUAAGAGUAGAUGUUGCAUGACAUUUGCUUAAAAGGUGCAAUUGCAUCACUACCAGAUGGACCUGCGUUGUAUUAGCUAGUUGGUGGGGUAACGGCUCACCAAGGCGACGAUACAUAGCCGACCUGAGAGGGUGAUCGGCCACACUGGGACUGAGACACGGCCCAGACUCCUACGGGAGGCAGCAGUAGGGAAUCUUCGGCAAUGGACGGAAGUCUGACCGAGCAACGCCGCGUGAGUGAAGAAGGUUUUCGGAUCGUAAAGCUCUGUUGUAAGAGAAGAACGAGUGUGAGAGUGGAAAGUUCACACU